This 497-nucleotide ribosomal RNA is filed under the name uncultured bacterium. Its description in RNAcentral is "partial 16S ribosomal RNA". It matches the Rfam family "Bacterial small subunit ribosomal RNA", at positions 28 to 507 of the family's 1533-position model. The record is from RNAcentral.
GAUGAACGCUGGCGGCGUGCCUAAUACAUGCAAGUCGAGCGAACAGACGAGGCGCUUGCUCCUCUGACGUUAGCGGCGGACGGGUGAGUAACACGUGGAUAACCUACCUAUAAGACUGGUAUAACUUCGGGAAACCGGCGCUAAUACCGUAUAAUAUAUUGAACCGCAUGGUUCAAUAGUGAAAGACGGUUUUGCUGUCACUUAUCGAUGGAUCCGCGCCGCAUUAGCUAGUUGUUAAGGUAACGGCUUACCACGGCAACGAUGCGUAGCCGACCUGAGAGGGUGAUCGGCCACACGGGAACGGAGACACGGUCCUGACGCCUAAGGGAGGCAGCAGUAGGGAAUCUUCCGCAAUGGGCGAAAGCAUGACGGAGCAACGCCGCGUGAGUGAUGAAGGUGUUCGGAUCGUAAAACUCUGUUAUUAGGGAAGAACAAAUGUGGAAGUAACUAUGCACGGCUUGACGGUACCUAAUCAGAAAGCCACGGCUAACUACGUG